Molecule: long non-coding RNA, 492 nt
Filed under: Populus trichocarpa (black cottonwood)
Lineage: Eukaryota; Viridiplantae; Streptophyta; Magnoliopsida; Malpighiales; Salicaceae
Description: long non-coding RNA (PTRI_LNC000213)
Source: RNAcentral
AUGUGCGGAGACUAGAAUACCUCAGCUCUAGCAACCAUAAUAAAUUCCGGGAGUACACAUGGUAGAAAAGAUUUGAACUCAAAAUCUCUUGAGAAAAAAGACAUCAAUGAUAGAAGAGAAUUCAGAUUAAGACCCAGAUAUGGUUGCAUAAAAAAGGAGGGUGGAGGAGAGAUCAGACUUACGAGCCAUCGAGCCACUCGGGGUCAACCAAGCUGCCACCACCUUUAACAGCAGGGAUCCAUGACUUUUUUGGUUGAGCAGCAGCUACCACCACCAACUUCCUUGUACCAACUGGAAAACUUCCAGUUCUACUAGCUCCAAUUCCCAGCAAGGCUUGGUUCCUCUUCCCUCCGCACAAGAAAGAAGACCCCAGUCCGUUUAGGACAGCUCCAGCGGUAGCAGCCAUCUCUCUGGUUCAAGAAGAUGAAGUUGGUUUCUAUGCAAGCUUAGAUGAAAGUAGCGGCGCCUCCUGAGCGAGGUUGUUUCCUUUGG